Long non-coding RNA from Gallus gallus (chicken), 7405 nucleotides. The record is from Ensembl. NCBI's taxonomy places the organism in Eukaryota, Metazoa, Chordata, Aves, Galliformes, Phasianidae.
UGUGGUUUCACUGGGGUUGCUUUGAGUGCAAAGGGCUGCGGAAGUUCUUUACCACGAGACUGAAGUGCUGGAACAGGCUGCCCAGAGAUGCUAUGGGUGCCCCGUCCCAUGAGGUGUUCAAGGCCAGUCAAGUCACAACCCCAGUCUUCAUAGUAAAGGACGAAUAAACAGCUUUAGUACUCCAUUUGCUUGCCUUUAGCCGAACUUGCAAGAGAAGAUACACACUGCAGUGACCCAGCAAGAAAAGCAGCUGGCAGCUCAGGAGACAGGCACCAAUAUGCACCUGUCAUUGACAACACGCUCAGAACAUGGCCAAUUUCAAUGUAAAGGUGCAGCUCAAUGUGGAGUCACAUAUGUUGCCUACGAUCAGCACCACUGUGUGGUAUUGCAGAGAGGUUUUAGUAAGCAUGACUUUGCUUCACUUUGGAGAAGGCCGAGUCGGAAGAGUCACCACAAACGUGCACCAAACGACAGAUCUGUAGCGAGGCUCUACAGGCCUGAAACACGGGGUGAACUGCAUCGCGGUGAAGCCCAUCAGGGUACUGUGAGCACUGAAACAGGCUGCCCGGGGCAGUGGGCACGGCCCCGAGCUGUCAGAGUUCAAAAAGCGUCUGGAGAACGCGUAGGAAGGUGCGCGCGUAACACGACGCGUGGCCGUGAGGGCCGUGAGGGCCCCGCGGGGCCUUGCCGGGGCCACCGCCGUGCAGUGCUGCCGAAGCGCCACCAGAGGGCGGCAGAGCGCGGCUCCCGCCGGUGCCUCCCGGUAUCCCCGCGCUGUGCCGGCGGCAGGGGGCACGCGGGCCGCCCUCUGCGCCUCGGAGCAAUCAGCAAGAGCCUUGACAAGUGCUGCCAUAAGGAUCUGACUAUCUGGCUUUUUUGAAUGAUUCCUGAAGGCUGCGAUUCAAUGUCUCCAUGUAAUGGAAUUGAUUUCCUUCAGUUAAGUUGGUUUCUCCCUUGGUUUUCCGUGAUGGCUUUAACCUGCAGCGCCAUGAGCAGGCAAUCUGAAGGCUGUGGUUGGUGACUCAUGCCAUUAGUUUUGCCUCUGGCAUUGCUACGGAAAAUCCAUUUCCGUCCAAACUGAAGCUGUCUGUUGAGCGUUAUGUAGUGUGCUGCCUUCGUUUUCUUUUCAAUGAAAAGCUCUUCCAUCUAGAAAUACACGUUCAGACUCUUGCAUUCCAGGUAUGUUUCUGGGGAAGACUGGAAAUACUUUUAACCUUCUCCUCACGGAAUGUAUGAAGGCUGCUCCGAAAGUAAUGCCUCCUAUUUAUUCCCAUGGAAACUGCAACAGUUACAAAGAGUACAAUAACACCGUUUGAUAGAACAAAUUCUCAGCUACAAAGCACUAUUUUUCAACAUGGUUGCCAUCAUUAGCUAUGCAUUUUCAUCCGUGAUGCACAAGAGCCUGUCCAGAACAUAGCUUAUCUUUCACGUUGCUGUUGAAAUGCACCACGCACCCACUCACUGUUCUCACAUCCACUGUUUUGUCUCCAUAAAUGUUCAGCAAGCGUCCAUGAAUGUCAGUGGGUGCCAUUUUUUCUGCGUGGAGAAAUCUGAUGAGACACCUUUCUUUCAUCCACCCUGCCUUGUCACAGACCAUUGUGUACGACUGUCCCUCUGCUGCCAUCUGUCACAUGGCAAUAACAUGUAACAGAAUAUUGGUAGGAAGGUUCAACCUCCACUGCCGUACCACCAGCAUCUACCUCUGAUGUUGUGGGCCAACAUAAUAAAAUAGGAGGCAUUACUUUUGGAGCAGGCCUUGCAUUUAGGGAGACAUUCCUCAAGGAUCAGUUUGACAUGGAUGCGUGAGGCAGGAACUCUUGAAUUUCACCGUGUCGAACAUCCAGGUCUUGGUGCCUGUGAGAUGAGUUUUCUCUUCUAAACAGUGGAAGUUAUCUCCUCUCCGCCUUCUUUCUGCCUGCCUUUCAUCCCAGCAAGGCAGGAAACUGGCUUUGCUAAUUCUUUAGAGAUCUCUGUGGCUUCCUAUCACUUACCUACCAGGUCUUUCUCCAGUAAUCUAUGAAGUCUUCUGUGAUGACAAGUGAGAAAUCUGGUGAUUGCUGCACAUCAGGUAUCAGUCGUGGAAGGCACACUCUGGUCUGGGAGCUGGAGGCAGGAAGCUCCUUGGCCUGUAAUCCUACAUUUCUGCUUUAACAGCACAUACAAUUUGAGAUAGCUGUGAGCAAACAAAGCUGAAGGUUGGAAUUCAUGAAAAGAGAAGCGUUGUUUUUGCUAAUUGGCUAACAUCUGAAGGGUUUGGCAAUGUGAUUACCAGCUGCUAUAGUCUGCAAUUGAUGUCACCUUCUCUUUGUAUAUAAACAUUAGUCAUUUGCUAAAGAAUGUGAAAAACAGGUGUUCCCUGUUCAUUGGAAACCUAUUCUUUUAAUGGGAUACUAUAAGAUAGCACCUGACAUAGAACAAUCCCUCGUAUGUUUGGUGUUAUUAACAUAAACACACUUGAACAGUUCCUUAUGCGGUGCCAUUGGUAUGCGUAGCACAGAAAAGAUAAACAAAAUGACAGAUGCCUAAACCAGAUGAAACUACAAUUAACCUAAUGACAGACAAAAAUAAAGGAAGUGUGGCAGGAAAAUGUGAAGGAACAUAAAAAUCACUGCAAGCUGCACUCGUUAGCUUUGUUUUUUUCUUUUUAAAGAAGUACUUCUACAGUUUGUAGCCAAUACAGGAAGUGAAGGUUGAAGCUGUAACCUUGCAGAGGGAAAUUUGGCUUCCAGACGUGACUCUUUGAAAAGGUUUUGGAAUACAGGAGUGCUCUGCACACAGGAUGAGAAAAGACAUUGAAGAAUAAGCAGUAUGCAUGGAAAAUAACCCACAGUGAUUAGCGGAAAAAGGGAAUAAAGCUAUGUCCCAUAGGCGUGCCCUCUGGAGAGCUUCAACUCAACCUUCUUAUCAGCUGUAGAGCGCAGCAGGAAAAUUGGUACUGUGGCUCUGUAUGCACUCAAACUGGUAUGUUUAGCUUGAAUUUCCACGAACAGAUUUCUUUAGAAAAUUUCGAAUUUGUGCACAAGAUUAAAUUCAAUAGGCAUUAAAUAAAAUAUACCUAAAUGAGAACGUACUAAUAAAAAGCAGCUAUUUGUCUACAGCAAGCUUUAAACGUUCCCAAGCAGCGUGCUCAAGGACAUUCACAUGGAGCUGCUUUGGCAGAGCAGAGGCUCGCUAGGUCAGAACAAGGCUCCCUGCUUCCAUCAGUAGAGCUGCUGAGUGCAGGCAGAGCACUGGAUUCACCCAGUGGGCUCUGGGUGCCCCAAGCCAGCCCAAGGGCCAGCAGCUCAGCUCCCGCUCUCACACCCCCAUGGGAUCCAGUUAUCAUAAAACUGUGUUCUGAAGAUAAAAAAUGAUCCAAGGGAUGGAACAUCUCCCCUAUGAGGACAGGCUGAGGGAGUUGAGGAUUUUCAGCCUGGAGAAGAGAAGGCUCCAGGGAGACCUGGUAGUGGCCUUUGAGUAUCAAAAGAGGGGCUGUAAGAAAGAAGGGAACAGACUCUUUUGCGGGGUCUGCUGUGAUAGAAAAUGGGAAAAUGGUUUCAAACUAAAAGAGGGAAUAUAAGGAAGAAGCUUUUAAGAAUAAGGAUGGUGAGGCACUGGCACAGGUUGCUCAGAGAGGUGGAGGAUGCCCCAUCCCUGGAGAUACUCAAGGUGAGGCUGAAUGGGGCUCUGAGCACCUGAUGGAGCUGUAGGUGUGCCUGUCCAUUGCAGGGGAGUUGGACUUGAUGGCCUUUAAAGGUCCCUUCCAACUUAACCCAUUCUAAGAUUUAUGAAGAUUAGAGGGGUAGCUUUGAAGAUUGAGGUUACAAUGAGAUGAGGCAUGCUCAGAACAACACAGUUCCAAAUUAAAAGUAAGGUUAAUUUUUGUUCUCGUAAUCAAAGUUACGUUUUUAAUGCAGGAGAUAGACAACUACCUAACAGUGCGGAACGCUCAGCUGCGGGUGAGCAAUCAAGCAGUGCCCCAGUAGAGCUAAAACAUUUUGCUGGGUUUGUGACAGCAUCUUUUUUUUCUCUUUUUUUUUUUGGUCUGUCACAAAUUGCCAUCGUCUCACAGCCAAAAUUGUUGGAAUUUUUUCCAUUGUGCACGAAGCAUUUUUAAACAAUAAUUCCAUCUAUUCUUAGCGAGAUGUUCUUUGGUGUGAAUUCUAUCUAUUGUUAGAAAGUGCUUUUGAGAAAAUAUGAUUCUAAUCUUAUGGCUUUUUGCCUUGAUAUCAAGAGACUUACUACCAAAUAUGCAGUCAUAUCUUUUGUUAAUAGAACCAAGUUACAGGAUCUAUUCAUAGAGCAGUAAUAAAUAAUGGUGGCAGCGGGGAGGGAUAUAUGUCAUUUUAGUUCUAGAAAACUGAUACUCCCAAAGGAUAAUGAUAUGAGGAAAAUUAGCUGCUGUCAACCUAGUUCAUAUAUAGUCUGUAUUGUAGGGAAAAAGAAUGUAUUGGAAUAAACUCUGUGGAAAGAAAAAUGACAUUUAUAAGUAAGUUUUUCCAGCCAAAAGACAUUUUUUUUCUAUUUCAGCCCCAAAGUGCACCCCUGACAUUUGCAUCGAGGGGCAUAUUUAGAUAUUUAGUGCAGUACAGUCCCAAAACUUUAUCAGAACGUUGAAAGCUGUUGUAAACAAGGAAACCAAAGUCAGGAGUCUCUCAGCAGAAAAGAGAACACCACCUGAAAUGGUUGCUGCUCAGUGUCUAGGCUUUCCUUUAUUCCCAUGGCAGAGUACAGGCCAUGCUAAGCAAGCUGAUCAAAACUGCAGAGGAGCUAGUGGUGGGAGAAAAACACAUCAUCAUAAUGUAUGCCAAGUGGAGGGUGGCAGGGAGACCCAACGGAGUGCCGUGCUUUUCACAUACACAACUUUCACAUUCUGAAUAAUUGUAACUUCCCUCAGUGUGACUCCCACAUUGCUCUAUCAGACCUGAUAAUGAAGUUAAAUCAGUCCAGUCCUCGAUCUCCGAUUUAGGCAGAUGUUAAAAUGAUAUCUCACUGCUUCUCAUGCACAUCUCAUGCGCUGUUUUUUGGGUGUUUGGGUUUUUUGUGCUGAUUUGGUUCCAGGGAACAUGCAACGACCUACAGAUUUGUUUCCCUAAUCGUGUCAGCUAUUGGCAGUACUGGUGUCCAAGACCUGUAAACCAAGUUUUGUGUGCAGCCCACUUUUUGAGGACAGCCAGGCCAGAAAGCUGUGCAUGGCAGACUGGAUGUCUGUAGGAGCCAGCAACUGUGAAUACAAAAAAGCUGCAGUCCCUCAACUUCUCCCCACAGGUUUCCCCUGGCAAUCCUGGCAUUGGAUCUUGUGAAGGAAACACCUGGCCCUUGGACUACACAAAGUCUAACAUCAGAGGCGCCAAUCAGCACUGUGAUGUUAUGCAUUCCAAAAGCUGAAAGCGUCUGGCGAAUGAAGCAAGAAACUGCACAAAGGGAAAGUCUGGUGAUUCAGUCAGCUGCUCCAUGCCCAGAGAAGUGGCCUACGGCCCUGCCCUUCCCACAGCACUCUCCAUUCCUCAUGCUGGUGGCCAGCCAUCUACUACAGACAUUACUGAAGAGCAGUACUUGCAUCGUCGCCUUUAGGCAACUGAAAAGUAUGACUGACAUAAAAAUCCAGAGCUUUCAAAUCCAGAGGCCCUCAUUGCUGGUAGAAACAAGAGAGGGAAAUAUAUUCAUAUUCUAGACAGGCACUAGAGAGAGGUUCUCUGCUUGAAACUGGACUAAAUCUACAGCUUCAUACAUCGACAUGAAGGGAGGAGUAACUCAGCACUUCUCUCUCCAGCAUCACAAGGCUCUGAAGGUACUGCCUUUGACAGACUUUUUUUCUCUGAGUGGAUGAGUUAUUGAUCAAGUAAGAGAUAAAAAAAAUAGGCACUUACUUUGUGCCACAUUGCUCUGAUCAGUGAUAGAAGCUCACUGCUGGAUACCGAUCUUAAUACAAUCUCAUGAACUCAGCAGAUCCUUUUCCUUAGUCUGCACUAAUGUCAUAUUAAGUGUCUUUGUGUUUUUUACCAUAUUAAGCAUUUCUGAAACUUGAAGAUUGAUUUUGGUUUGAUUUUAAAGGGCUGAGAGAUUUUAGAAUUAGAUUUUAAUAGCCAAUUAUAGAUUAUUAAACAGUGGAAAAAAUUUAAAGCCAUUAAAAUAAUCUUUUAAACCUUCCUUAAAAUUACAUGCGAUCCACUGAGAAUAUUCGUCCAGCUGUAUUUGAAAAAUAUUAAUUGGAAGUCAGUGCAAAUAUAAAUGCUAAUGUGAACUUAACCAGAACGUGAGGGUUUCUGAACUGGAAAAGCUCUCAGAGCACACAGAAGUCACCUGUCAAGGUGGUUUUGGGACAACCAUAUGUACUAUGGGAUGACGGAGGGCAAAAAUUACGGAGGGCCACUAUGUGACUAAUUCUGCUUACUUCUAUUUUGUUUGUUUGAACAUCAGAAAUUCCUCACACGUAUCCUGUGUCUUCCAGUGAUUUGUUACACCUCUGUAAAAUACUGAUUUCAUUCCUAAGGGUGUUUCUGCCUUUAAAGAGCAGUAUCUGUCUGGCUCAGUUGGCAGUGCUGACCGGAAUAAAAACAAACAAACAACAAAAAACAAAAAUAAAUGAACAAAUAAAUGAAAAACAUCCCUGAUCAAAUAUCAGUAACUGUUACAGAACAGGAACUAAAAGAGGGGCGAUUUAGGUUAGAUGUUAGGAGGAAAUGCUUUCCCCAGAGGGCAGUGAGGUGCUGACACAGCUGCCCAGAGAAGCUGUGGUGCCCCAUCCCUGGAGGCGCUCAAGGCCAGGUUGGAUGGGGCCCUGGGCAGCCUGAGCUGGUGGGGGGCAGCCCUGCCCACGAUAGGGUUUGGAGUAGGGUGGGCUGUGAGGUUCCUUCCAACCCAAAUCAUUCUGUAAUUCUAUGAUUAUGAAUGUUACAUUUCAAUUAAUGUUAUCAUAACAAUGCUAUGGAUAUGAUUUUUCUUAUCUCAGCUUGCUGGGGAAUAGUGUAAAGAAUUUUCUGAAUGGGUAUAGCCUUUGGGGUGCCUGAGAUAAAGUAUUUUCACACACAUCCACCCCAUGUGAAACGUGCAGAAAGCCAAAAUAAACCACUGAAUUGGAUUUUGCCUUCGCUUCAGGAAGGACAGAAUAGUAGGGACUAUUUCUCAUACUUGAUCGCUAAUUUGUUGGCCAGUCAUCGUGGCAAUUAAGGAAAAAUGAUCACCUCAGUCCAAGCUGAGUGAAAUAAAGGGGAGAUUUCUUGUUAUGGCUGGGAAAAUCACAGAAAGCGUCACAGAAAUACGGAAGGAGCUAUGAUGGAUAUGCAUGGAGAAGACAGAGAACAAAUGCAGCAAAUAGGAAGCAUCAACUACUGAUAUGACAGAGAUUCAGAAUCACAGAAUGUCUUAGGUUGGGAGGGACAUCAAAGCCUACCCAGUCCCAACCCCUGCUGUGAACAGGGCUGCC